Molecule: ribosomal RNA, 253 nt
Filed under: uncultured bacterium
Lineage: Bacteria
Description: partial 16S ribosomal RNA
Rfam family: Bacterial small subunit ribosomal RNA
Source: RNAcentral
GACGGAGGGUGCUAGCGUUGUUCGGAUUUACUGGGCGUAAAGGGCGCGUAGGCGGCCAGAUCAGUCGGGUGUGAAAGCCCGGGGCUCAACCCCGGAACGGCACCCGAGACGGUUUGGCUGGAGACCGGGAGAGGAGGGUGGAAUAGCCAGUGUAGAGGUGAAAUUCGUAGAUAUUGGGAAGAACACCGGUGGCGAAGGCGGCUCACUGGCUCGUUUCUGACGCUCAGGCGCGAUAGCGUGGGGAUCAAACAGG